CCCUCAUUUAUAGUCAUCUGCUAAUUGCUUGAGCUUUGUCGUCUCUUCCUCUUCGCUGGAGGAGACUCAGGCACAAUUAGGUUUCAAUCUUGACUGGCACUUUUGGACACCACAGAACACAGAACACAAAGUGGAGCUUGAGUGACUCUGAUCAUACAUCAUGCUCAGUGAGGGGUGGUUGUACCCUGAAGGUGCGCUCCUGUAUAUUACGUGAACGCUUAACAGGAAAAAAAACCCUACAGUAGUCAGGGAAGGGGAGCAGAAAGUGACCUACAGGUGAAAAGAGGAAAGAAAAAGCUACUUAUGGAGCAUGAUUCAUUUCUCCUUGGAGUGAAUAUGUAAAUACAAGCAGAUGAGCUGUGCUCCAGAAACGCUCAUUUAUCUCUACUGGCUCUCAUGCAAGUUUACUUGACUAGCAAAAAUGUGAAUGGCUAAAAGUGGGGACAUUCAAGGCUUCCAAUUUAAGCCAGUGGCUGAAGGCAGAAAAAUGCUGGUUUUACAGCCAUGACAAGAGAGCUUAGCUCAAAUCAACCUUCCUUCUUCCAAAAGCUGCUCUGUAAAGUCCAGUGACACAAGUAAGCCAUGUGAGACGAGGAAGGUGAUGCCAAAGG
Molecule: long non-coding RNA, 611 nt
Organism: Pipra filicauda (Wire-tailed manakin)
Lineage: Eukaryota; Metazoa; Chordata; Aves; Passeriformes; Pipridae
Exons: 7
Source: RefSeq, a predicted model, not a curated record